UAGGGAAUAUUAGAAAUGGACGCAAGUCUGAUCUAGCAACACCGCGUGUGCGAAGAAGGCUUUCGGGUCGUAAAGCACUUUUUGGAAGGAAUAGGAAGGAAUGUACUUCCAGAAUAAGUCUCGGCUAACUACGUGCCAGCAGCCGCGGUAACACGUAGGAGGCAAACGUUAUCCGGAUUUACUGGGCGUAAAGCGCGUGUAGGUGGUACUGUAAGUAGGGCGUGAAAGCUCCUGGCUCAACUGGGAGAGGCCGUUCUAAACUACAGAACUAGAGGAUGGUAGAGGGAGGUGGAAUUCCAGGUGUAGCGGUGGAAUGCGCAGAUAUCUGGAGGAACACCGGUGGCGAAGGCGGCCUCCUGGACCAUUCCUGACUCUCAGACGCGAAAGCUAGGGUAGCAAACGG
Molecule: ribosomal RNA, 403 nt
Filed under: uncultured bacterium
Lineage: Bacteria
Description: bacterial SSU rRNA
Rfam family: Bacterial small subunit ribosomal RNA
Source: RNAcentral